AACAAAUCGAUCAGAUAGACAAAAUUUUAUGUCGUAUUGGUGUGACGAAGAAUUGCAAAAUUUGAAUAAGCGGUUAAGCACAAUGAAGUUUGUCUCGCGGAGAGUUUUCAUUAUUGGAAUGAUACUUUUACUAUCAAUUUCGGAUAUUAAUGGAGCUCACAUGAGACACAGACGCCAAGCUGACAGUGACGGUAAAAGCCAAUUAGAUUGGCAAACAAUAAUAAAGGAUGUUCUUAAAAUACCGCUCAUGGGCGAUAGCUUACACAGGGCACUUGUAGACUUGGGCGAGUCAGUGAACAAGCUCGAUCGAUUUACGAAUGGGACGCUUUCAAGGAUUUCCAAUGACUAUCCUCCGUGCACAAUUGAUAUGCGAGGAGUCCUAUGUACUGGCAAACCAAAAAACGGCGGCAUCGUAGGAAUUACAACAGAACUUAUUAAUGACACUAUGUUACCGAAACUUGCUAAGUCAAUGAUGAUUAAUUUUCUCCAUACGACCGUCUUCCCGUUUUUCGCUGCAAUGUUCGGCCUUCCUGAAAUGUCAUACGAGAACAUGUAAAAUAUUUGGCGCUUUACCUUACCGGUACCACCUACAAUUGUGCUAUUAUAGGCAAAUCUUUAUGAGCGCUUUUGUGGAUCUAAUAACUUUCGAGUAACAAAAUAAAUUUGUAACAUUGCUGUUUCGAAGUUGCUUUCGAUUCCUCGAAACGUUUAGCGAUAAAAAGCAUGGACAUGGAAUAUUUAUUUGCAAGUGAAUUCAAGAAAUGUAAACGUCUAGUUUGACGUCUUACUGAAAAAGCGAUAAACGCUUCCUCAAGUAAUUCUUUCUAGGAGUCCAUUGGAAUUUUGCAUAUCACGCUUUUGAAAAUUCUCGAGUGAUUUGUACAAGUCAAUGCUAACUUAUAAAAGAAAUGUCGGAGUUAACCGAUUUGCCAGUCAAUUUGCACAGAUCUCAAGUGGAUUUCUAUUAUACAAAAUGCAGUCUGUAGGAAAAUCUGCUAUAAUUUUAUUCGUAGCUCACUUGAUGGCCGUCCAUUUCACCAAUGCAAAAAGUAUUGCAAGACGCGACACGAAGAUUGAUUAUUUUGAUAAUAUCGUCGAACAGCUGGAUAAAUUAAGGAAGAUGCCACUUUUCGGUCAAUCUAUUGAGCCAUGGAUUACUCAGGUCCUAAAUAUACUUGAACAAUCCAACCAACUCUCCGACAAGAGCCUUGGCAAAGUCUUCAACAGCAUGAUGCCUUGUAACUUCAGUUAUAAAUUUAUUACUUGCAAUGGUACUUUGGACAUAGACAAUGCUAAAUUGUUGGCCAAAAAGAUAUUGUUUUUUCUAGUUCCAAAUGUGAUGCCUGAAAAAUAUACGUCUAUAAGGUCCAUUUCGCCGCAAGAGUGAUAUGAAGUAAGAAUUUCACGAAGACAGUUAAUUAAUUUGUAACGUAUAUAAUCAACAUUGUGUGUAGAGCUACA
Phymastichus coffea is the source of this 1461-nucleotide long non-coding RNA. RefSeq lists it as uncharacterized. NCBI's taxonomy places the organism in Eukaryota, Metazoa, Arthropoda, Insecta, Hymenoptera, Eulophidae. The transcript has 3 exons. The record is from RefSeq and is a predicted model, not a curated record.